Molecule: non-coding RNA, 71 nt
Organism: Ictidomys tridecemlineatus (thirteen-lined ground squirrel)
Lineage: Eukaryota; Metazoa; Chordata; Mammalia; Rodentia; Sciuridae
Source: Rfam
GGAGUUAGAGCUCAGUGGAAGAGCAUUUGCUUUGUGUACAGGAGGCCCUGGGUUUGAGCCCCAGUACUUUG